Molecule: ribosomal RNA, 686 nt
Organism: Toxoplasma gondii ME49
Lineage: Eukaryota; Apicomplexa; Conoidasida; Eucoccidiorida; Sarcocystidae
Source: RefSeq, a predicted model, not a curated record
CCGAGUACUCGAAAGUGGAGCUCGGAAACAGGAACACUCCUCAGCCACAAGGAAAAGGAAAGAACAAAGAUAUAACGGUCCACAAGGAACCUACCUUCUUUGAACGAAAUCAAUUCCGAGUAGCUGAUGCUGACCUCUCCAAAAAGAUGAACCGGAAAUACAUCAAGAAACCAAAGCCUAAACCUGGUGAGAGAGAGAAGGCAAAGGGAUAGAUGGCAAACCGGCGGCACUUCUUGGAAUCAAAAAGGUCCCAAUCGCUUCCUUUUCAGCAAUUUCAGGCACUUUUAACUCUCUUUCCAAAGAACUUUUCAUCUUUCCCUCACGGUACUUGUUUGCUAUCGGUCUCGCGCCAGUACUUAGCUUUAUGUGAAACCUACCACACAUUUUGCGCUCAAAUCCCGAUGAACGCGACUCUAUAAAAGCGUACCGUACGUGGAACAAAAAACGCAGGGGAAGGACGGGAUUCUCACCCUCUAUGAUGUUCUUUCCCAAGAAACUUAACCCUGCGCUUCCACUGGUAACGCCUCUCGAGGCUACAAGUCAACAGCUCGGAAAGAGCAGUUGAUUUCCACUUUGAGCUGAUCCCGGUUCACUCGCCGUUACUAAGGGAAUCAUAGUUAUUUUCUUCUCCUCCGCUUAAUAAUAUGCUUAAGUUCAGCGGGUAACCUCGCCUGAUUUCAGGUCUG